Triticum aestivum (bread wheat) is the source of this 982-nucleotide long non-coding RNA. RefSeq lists it as uncharacterized. NCBI's taxonomy places the organism in Eukaryota, Viridiplantae, Streptophyta, Magnoliopsida, Poales, Poaceae. The record is from RefSeq and is a predicted model, not a curated record. The transcript has 3 exons.
ACCACGGCAGCGACGUGGGGCGCCAGACACGAGCCAGGGAGCGUCUGGGCAGGCGCGCGAGGAGCCGACCGCUCGAGCGGGCAUCUUCCGAUUACAGAUCGAACAAUCUUCAGCCCUAUCCUUUUCCCCCAAACCUAGCACUACCUGAAGGCUCUGGCGGCGGCGAGCGACUCUAGGUCCGGCGGCCGGCCUUCUCCUCCCUCGGUUAGCCGCUUCCCCCAGACCCCAGUGCCGGCCAUCUCCCUCGGUCCCUCCCCUACGGCUCUACCCUCUGCCUCCGGCGUCCGGCCCUCUUCUCCGCGGCUCCACCAGUCCGCCUCCGGCCUCCCCGACGCCGCGACAGCGCCAUCCAUCAGUCAGCAGAUGAAGAAGAAGGGGAACAAAACUAUGAUGAAGAAGAAGGAUGUUAGCAUAUUUCAAAUGUGGGACAAAUCUUCAAAGACAAGGAAACUAACUUCUACAUCCACACCAACUCCUCUUUCCGUUGAGGUUGAGAGCAAUCUGCAGCUAGCACUAGUGCAAACUUCUUAAGUUGGUUUCUCAUGUGCAAUUAAGCAUGUUCAUUUCUCAUGUGCGUAAGGAUAAAAGGUUUAGCAAGUUGAAGAAUCUAUGUGAGCUUUCAGUUUUGAUGGUUGAGACAAGAAAGAAUGAACAAUAUUAUAUUGUUUACAAAAUUCUUAAGUUGGUUCUCAUUCUUCCGGUAGCCACUGCUAGCGUUGAGAGGGUAUUUUCCUCGAUGAAAUACGUGAAGAAUUCACUCAGAAACAAAAUGGGUGAUGAAUAUUUGAACGAUUGCUUGGUUACAUUCGUUGAGAGAGAAUUCUUCAGGCAAGUGAAAGAUGAGGAUGUCAUCAAUCUCUUCCGAAAAGGGGAUCGUAAAGUUAUAUUGUAAUUUCCUUUGCUAUUUGUAAUCUUCGUAAUUGUUAGAGUUAUUGCCACAAUGAUAUUUUGCUACUAUUAUCAAUGUAUGGUCAUUGAGUCA